This 1367-nucleotide ribosomal RNA is filed under the name Cylindrospermopsis raciborskii CHAB3409. RNAcentral's name for it is "bacterial SSU rRNA". It matches the Rfam family "Bacterial small subunit ribosomal RNA". Lineage: Bacteria; Bacillati; Cyanobacteriota; Cyanophyceae; Nostocales; Aphanizomenonaceae. The record is from RNAcentral.
ACGCUGGCGGUAUGCUUAACACAUGCAAGUCGAACGGGAUGCUUAGGCAUCUAGUGGCGGACGGGUGAGUAACGCGUGAGAAUCUGGCUCCAGGUCGGGGAUAACAGUUGGAAACGACUGCUAAUACCGGAUGUGCCGAGAGGUGAAAGAUUUAUCGCCUGGAGAUGAGCUCGCGUCUGAUUAGCUAGUUGGCGGUGUAAGGGACCACCAAGGCAUCGAUCAGUAGCUGGUCUGAGAGGAUGAUCAGCCACACUGGGACUGAGACACGGCCCAGACUCCUACGGGAGGCAGCAGUGGGGAAUUUUCCGCAAUGGGCGAAAGCCUGACGGAGCAAUACCGCGUGAGGGAGGAAGGCUCUUGGGUCGUAAACCUCUUUUCUCAAGGAAGAAGAAAGUGACGGUACUUGAGGAAUAAGCAUCGGCUAACUCCGUGCCAGCAGCCGCGGUAAUACGGAGGAUGCAAGCGUUAUCCGGAAUGAUUGGGCGUAAAGGGUCUGCAGGUGGAACUGAAAGUCUGCUGUUAAAGAGUUUGGCUUAACCAAAUAAAAGCGGUGGAAACUACAGAACUAGAGUGCGGUAGGGGCAAAAGGAAUUCCUGGUGUAGCGGUGAAAUGCGUAGAUAUCAGGAAGAACACCGGUGGCGAAAGCGUUUUGCUAGACCGUAACUGACACUGAGGGACGAAAGCUAGGGGAGCGAAUGGGAUUAGAUACCCCAGUAGUCCUAGCCGUAAACGAUGGAUACUAGGCGUGGCUUGUAUCGACCCGAGCCGUGCCGGAGCUAACGCGUUAAGUAUCCCGCCUGGGGAGUACGCACGCAAGUGUGAAACUCAAAGGAAUUGACGGGGGCCCGCACAAGCGGUGGAGUAUGUGGUUUAAUUCGAUGCAACGCGAAGAACCUUACCAAGACUUGACAUCCUGCGAAUCCCGGUGAAAGCUGGGAGUGCCUUAGGGAGCGCAGAGACAGGUGGUGCAUGGCUGUCGUCAGCUCGUGUCGUGAGAUGUUGGGUUAAGUCCCGCAACGAGCGCAACCCUCGUUUUUAGUUGCCAGCAUUAAGUUGGGCACUCUAGAGAGACUGCCGGUGACAAACCGGAGGAAGGUGAGGAUGACGUCAAGUCAGCAUGCCCCUUACGUCUUGGGCUACACACGUACUACAAUGCUACGGACAGAGGGCAGCGAGCCAGGGAUGGCAAGCGAAUCCAGAAACCGUAGCUCAGUUCAGAUCGAAGGCUGCAACUCGCCUUCGUGAAGGAGGAAUCGCUAGUAAUUGCAGGUCAGCAUACUGCAGUGAAUUCGUUCCCGGGCCUUGUACACACCGCCCGUCACACCAUGGAAGUUGGUCACGCCCGAAGUCAUUACCCCAACCGAAA